GAUGAAGAACGCAGCGAAAUGCGAUAAGUAAUGUGAAUUGCAGAAUUCAGUGAAUCAUCGAAUCUUUGAACGCACAUUGCGCCCUCUGGUAUUCCGGGGGGCACGCCUGUUCGAGCGUCAUUAUAACCACUCAAGCUCUCGCUUGGUAUUGGGGCUCGCGGUUCCGCGGCCCCUAAAAUCAGUGGCGGUGCCUGUCGGCUCUACGCGUAGUAAUACUCCUCGCGAUUGAGUCCGGUAGGUCUACUUGCCAGCAACCCCCAAUUUUUACAGGUUGACCUCGGAUCAGGUAGGGAUACCCGCUGAACUUAAGCAUAUCAAUAAGCGGAGGA
RNAcentral lists this unclassified non-coding RNA (329 nucleotides) under soil metagenome. Its description in RNAcentral is "partial contains 5.8S ribosomal RNA, internal transcribed spacer 2, and large subunit ribosomal RNA". The stretch from base 1 to 120 matches the Rfam family "5.8S ribosomal RNA", at positions 35 to 154 of the family's 154-position model. The record is from RNAcentral.